UCUAGAGAAGUGUUACCUGUGCUGGACCAUGUACAAGUCUCCUGGAAUGGAGCAUCAUAGAGGGUGAGAAUCCCGUCUUUGACAUGGACUACCUGUGCAUUGUGGUGUGCUCUCAAAGAGUCGAGUUGUUUGGGAAUGCAGCUCAAAAUGGGUGGUAAAUGCCAUCUAAAGCUAAAUAUUGGCGAGAGACCGAUAGCGAACAAGUACCGUGAGGGAAAGAUGAAAAGUACUUUGGAAAGAGAGUUAAACAGUACGUGAAAUUGCUGAAAGGGAAACGCUUAAAGUCAGUCUCGUCAGCUAGAAAUCAACCUUGCUUUUGCUUGGUGUACUUUCUGGUUUGAUGGGUCAGCAUCGAUUCUUUUGACCAUUGGAUAAAGGCUUUGGGAAUGUGGCAUCUUUGGAUGUGUUAUAGCCUAUUGUCGCAUGUGAUGGUUGGGAUCGAGGAACUCAGCACGCCUGCAAAGGCCGGGUUUUAACCACGUUCGUGCUUAGGAUGCUGGCAUAAUGGCUUUAAUCGACCCGUCUUGAAACACGGACCAAGGAGUCUAACAUGCCUGCGAGUGUUUGGGUGGAAAACCCAUGCGCGCAAUGAAAGUGAAAGUUGAGAUCCCUGUAAGAGGGGAGCAUUGACGCCCGGACCAGACCUUUUGUGACGGAUCCGCGGUAGAGCAUGUAUGUUGGGACCCGAAAGAUGGUGAACUAUGCCUGAAUAGGGUGAAGCCAGAGGAAACUCUGGUGGAGGCUCGUAGCGAUUCUGACGUGCAAAUCGAUCGUCAAAUUUGGGUAUAGGGGCGAAAGACUAAUCGAACCAUCUAMUANCUGGUUCCUGCCGAAYUUUCCCUCAGGAUAGCAAAAACUCMUAUCAAAUUUWUGUGGUAAAGCGAARGAUUAAAGGCCUUGGGGGUUGAAAAACCUUAACCUAUU
Molecule: ribosomal RNA, 924 nt
Filed under: Inocybe sp. PAM08090318
Lineage: Eukaryota; Fungi; Basidiomycota; Agaricomycetes; Agaricales; Inocybaceae
Description: LSU rRNA
Rfam family: Eukaryotic large subunit ribosomal RNA
Source: RNAcentral